AGAGUUUGAUCCUGGCUCAGGAUGAACGCUAGCUACAGGCUUAACACAUGCAAGUCGAGGGGCAGCAGGGAGAUAGCUUGCUAUCUUUGCUGGCGACCGGCGCACGGGUGAGUAACGCGUAUCCAACCUACCCCGUACUCAGGGAUAGCCCGUUGAAAGACGGAUUAAUACCUGAUGUUCUCCUUUUUUGGCAUCAUUAUUGGAGCAAAGAUUGAUCGGUACGGGCUGGGGAUGCGUCUGAUUAGCUUGCCGGCAGGGUAACGGCCUACCGGGGCAACGAUCAGUAGGGGUUCUGAGAGGAAGGUCCCCCACAUUGGAACUGAGACACGGUCCAAACUCCUACGGGAGGCAGCAGUGAGGAAUAUUGGUCAAUGGAGGCAACUCUGAACCAGCCAAGUAGCGUGCAGGAUGACGGCCCUAUGGGUUGUAAACUGCUUUUAUGCGGGGAUAAAGGAGCCUACGUGUAGGCUUUUGCAGGUACCGCAUGAAUAAGGACCGGCUAAUUCCGUGCCAGCAGCCGCGGUAAUACGGAAGGUCCGGGCGUUAUCCGGAUUUAUUGGGUUUAAAGGGAGCGUAGGCGGUCUGUUAAGCGUGUUGUGAAAUGUAGGUGCUCAACAUCUGCACUGCAGCGCGAACUGGCGGACUUGAGUUGGCUGAAAGUAUGCGGAAUUCGUGGUGUAGCGGUGAAAUGCUUAGAUAUCACGAAGAACUCCGAUUGCGAAGGCAGCAUGCUGUAUCCUUACUGACGCUGAAGCUCGAAGGUGCGGGUAUCGAACAGGAUUAGAUACCCUGGUAGUCCGCACGGUAAACUAUGGAUGCCCCGCUGUUGGCGAUAUAGUGUCAGCGGCCAAGCGAAAGCGUUAAGCAUCCCACCUGGGGAGUACGCCGGCAACGGUGAAACUCAAAGGAAUUGACGGGGGCCCGCACAAGCGGAGGAACAUGUGGUUUAAUUCGAUGAUACGCGAGGAACCUUACCCGGGCUUGAACUGCACAGGACUGAUACAGAGAUGUUGAUUCCCUUCGGGGCCUGUGCGGAGGUGCUGCAUGGUUGUCGUCAGCUCGUGCCGUGAGGUGUCGGCUUAAGUGCCAUAACGAGCGCAACCCCUUUCGUCAGUUGCCAUCAGGUUCUGCUGGGCACUCUGGCGACACUGCCACCGUAAGGUGCGAGGAAGGUGGGGAUGACGUCAAAUCAGCACGGCCCUUACGUCCGGGGCUACACACGUGUUACAAUGGCAGGUACAGAGGGCCGGCGCCUGGCAACAUGCGUCCAAUCCUUAAAGCCUGCCUCAGUUCGGAUUGGGGUCUGCAACCCGACCCCAUGAAGCUGGAUUCGCUAGUAAUCGCGCAUCAGCCAUGGCGCGGUGAAUACGUUCCCGGGCCUUGCACUCAAGGCCCGUCA
Molecule: ribosomal RNA, 1399 nt
Filed under: uncultured bacterium
Lineage: Bacteria
Description: 16S ribosomal RNA
Rfam family: Bacterial small subunit ribosomal RNA
Source: RNAcentral